This 496-nucleotide ribosomal RNA is filed under the name uncultured bacterium. RNAcentral describes it as "partial 16S ribosomal RNA". It matches the Rfam family "Bacterial small subunit ribosomal RNA", at positions 29 to 507 of the family's 1533-position model. The record is from RNAcentral.
AACGAACGCUGGCGGCGCGUCUUAAGCAUGCAAGUCGAACGGCAAGAGAGGAGCUUGCUUCUCUCCUAGAGUGGCGGACUGGUGAGGAACACGUGGGUAAUCUACCCUUAAGAUGGGGAUAGCUGCUAGAAAUAGCAGGUAAUACCGAAUACACUCGGCAUAUCACAAGAGGUGUUGAGGAAAGGAAGCUACGGCUUCGCUUGAGGAUGAGCUUGCGUCCCGUUAGCUAGUUGGUGAGGUAAAGGCCCACCAAGGCGACGAUGGGUAUCCGGCCUGAGAGGGUGAACGGACACAUUGGGACUGAGAUACGGCCCAAACUCCUACGGGAGGCAGCAGCUAAGAAUAUUCCGCAAUGGACGGAAGUCUGACGGAGCGACGCCGCGUGGAUGAAGAAGGCUGAAAAGUUGUAAAAUCCUUUUGUUGAUGAAGAAUAAGGGUGAGAGGGAAUGCUCAUCUGAUGACGGUAAUCGACGAAUAAGCCCCGGCUAAUUACGUG